GGAGGGUACAGCUCAGUGGUAGAGUGCCUGCUUAGCAUGCACAAGGUCCUGGGGUCAAUCCCCAGGACCUCCA
This is a non-coding RNA of Camelus ferus (Wild Bactrian camel), 73 nucleotides long. The record is from Rfam. Lineage: Eukaryota; Metazoa; Chordata; Mammalia; Artiodactyla; Camelidae.